Molecule: long non-coding RNA, 1588 nt
Organism: Monodelphis domestica (gray short-tailed opossum)
Lineage: Eukaryota; Metazoa; Chordata; Mammalia; Didelphimorphia; Didelphidae
Source: Ensembl
GUAAGACUACACAAGGGAAGGGGAGAGCUUUUGUUCAAGGUCCAGAGCUGAAAGGUAACCUUUAGAGAUAUUCCCUCCCCAAUACCCCAAAGAAGAAAGAACACACAACUCACAACUUGGCAGUCAGUCUUCUGGUGAUGAGCAUCUCUACAAAUACCCAGUCCACCAUUGGGGGCCCAUAUAUUAUCUUUCAAGUUUGGUCCAGCCUGUGCUAAAUGUGGACUCUGCCUUGAAGAAGACUGCAAGAAAUACAGCAUCUGCUGACUGUGAGAAGGUUCAACUUUAUGAGCACCAGGAAUUCUCCCAACAGUAAUCGAGCCAUCGAUGGUAUUGGUUGAUCUAAGACAAAGGAGCUCCACAAAACGCCAAGUGAUCCUGAAGAAUGACAAUGUAUAUGUACACUGGAAGAAAGAAAAACAACAACCAUCCACUUCAAACAAAGCCAUCCAAACCCCCACCGCUCACCAAUCAAGCAGGCACUGUGGGGAGCCUCCAACUCAUGAACGAUUUUGGAAUCAUGUGGGAGCUCAGUGUAUCAGCAAAGUUCGUUGUGAGACAUCUACCCUGCCGUGCUGGGGAUUUCAUUGAAGGUCCAUAGUAGAAAUAUGUGUUUUAAUGUCCUUGGCUCCAUUAUUCCGGAUUGUUCUCAACUCCCACCCUGGACGAGACCCCCAAAAUCAGAACGCGACCCCAAAAGUCAGAACACAUGCACAUGGGCUUUUAGGCAGGGGAAGAGCAUGGGGCUCUUUUUGUCUCAGAGGUGCCAUGCAGAGAAUGUGUGAGGAGCCAUCUUCAUCGAUGCACUGAGUACAGCCUGGGAUUUUCCUGCCAAAUGAAGAGAAUUGCACUUGGAUAGUAUGCAAUAACAAUCAUUUCCCUUGAUGGCAUCUCUCAAAGACCUUCCUAGAUGCCGUGAGGGUCUGUGCUACGAGUGACUGAUGAGAAAAUGAAGCUUCAUUCCUUUUGUUUAUCUCUUUCUCAUUCUCUCUCUCAAGAUAUGGUUUCAUUAGUACUCCAGACUAACUGCCGAGGUAGUUCUGUGACUUUUGCGGUCUCAUGAGAGAUCUGUUUGAGGCAGUGUGAUGAGGAUGGCAAAGUGCUACCUCACCACUCUCUGGGCUGCCUGCUCUGAUGUACUGAUUUAAUUCAGGGGUGUGCUGAAAAGACACUUCUCUGAUUUGCCUUGGAGUUAAUCGUCUUGUUCCAGGCAAUGCUCAGAGAAAAUCUUCUUUAGCUAGAACUCCUGGACCUACCUCAAAGGGGAACCAAGACGAGGAACUAUUGACUUAGGAAAACUGAGGGGGAAAAGAAAUAUCUACUUCCUUAGUGUUUCUUGGGUUGCAUGGAUUAUAGCCAAGUUCAUGUUUGCAAAAGGCUUUGAUCUACUACAGGAAGAGCAGGGAAAGUGCCUACCCAAACUACUAUCCAUGGUCUUGGGACAGAAUGUUCCUUAUGUCCCAGAUUCUCCUUCCUCACCUUUGCCCAUCUUCCUUCAAGGCUCAGUUCAAGUGGCUGUCCAUGAAAAAACAUUUAUGAAGCACCUGCUAUAUGCUACUGUGCUGAAUUAUGAGAAUACAAAGAAGAUAAA